This is a long non-coding RNA of Danaus plexippus (monarch butterfly), 251 nucleotides long. RefSeq lists it as uncharacterized. The transcript is spliced from 2 exons. The record is from RefSeq and is a predicted model, not a curated record. Lineage: Eukaryota; Metazoa; Arthropoda; Insecta; Lepidoptera; Nymphalidae.
GCUAUUUUACUCAUUCAUUAAUAUGUACAGUUAACAUUAACGACUGUGAAACCUUAAGGCCUGCAGUAUCCAUUGUUGGCUCACCCACUUACAUAACACGUGACGACCUAACAGAACAAUGGAGCGAUACUACAAGAGUCGCGGGAAAAAUGCACACGCCUUAAAGAGGUUGCAUUUCGUCAAGUUAAUUUUAGAACGGAUUACAGAUAAAGUUGUUUGUUACGUAACAAGGAUUAUUUAUGUUAUUUAAA